CCCUUAGACGUUCUGGGCCGCACGCGCGCUACACUGACCAGUGCAACAAGCAUCCGUCCUUGGCCGACAGGCCCGGGCAAUCUUUGAACGCUGGUCGUGAUGGGGAUAGACUUUUGCAAUUUUUGGUCUUCAACGAGGAAUUCCUAGUAAACGCAAGUCAUCAACUUGCAUUGAUUACGUCCCUGCCCUUUGUACACACCGCCCGUCACACCUACCGAUUGAAUGGUCCGGUGAAGCCUCCGGAUUGGCGCGCACCUCGGUGCCGCCGAGAAGUUGGCUAAACCUUACCAUUUAGAGGAAGGUGAANUCGUANCA
Molecule: ribosomal RNA, 315 nt
Filed under: uncultured eukaryote
Lineage: Eukaryota
Description: partial 18S ribosomal RNA
Rfam family: Eukaryotic small subunit ribosomal RNA
Source: RNAcentral